RNAcentral lists this ribosomal RNA (103 nucleotides) under Facklamia sp. 253. Its description in RNAcentral is "partial 23S ribosomal RNA". It matches the Rfam family "Bacterial large subunit ribosomal RNA", at positions 2823 to 2925 of the family's 2925-position model. Lineage: Bacteria; Bacillati; Bacillota; Bacilli; Lactobacillales; Aerococcaceae. The record is from RNAcentral.
AGGAAGUAAGACCCCUGAAAGACGAACAGGUAGAUAGGCUAGAAGUGGAAGUGUUGUGAGACAUGGAGCGGACUAGUACUAAUCGGUCGAGGACUUAACCAAG